This 487-nucleotide ribosomal RNA is filed under the name uncultured bacterium. RNAcentral's name for it is "bacterial SSU rRNA". It matches the Rfam family "Bacterial small subunit ribosomal RNA", at positions 28 to 507 of the family's 1533-position model. The record is from RNAcentral.
GAUGAACGCUAGCGACAGGCCUAACACAUGCAAGUCGAGGGGCAGCACAUGAGUAGCAAUACGAUGGUGGCGACCGGCGCACGGGUGAGUAACACGUAUGCAACCUGCCUGUAAGAGGGGAAUAACCCGGAGAAAUUCGGACUAAUACCGCAUAAUACCACGAGACUGCAUGGUUUUGUGGUUAAACAUUUAUGGCUUACAGAUGGGCAUGCGUAUGAUUAGAUAGUUGGUAGGGUAACGGCCUACCAAGUCUACGAUCAUUAGGGGUUCUGAGAGGAAGGUCCCCCACACUGGUACUGAGACACGGACCAGACUCCUACGGGAGGCAGCAGUGGGGAAUAUUGGUCAAUGGGCGAGAGCCUGAACCAGCCAAGUCGCGUGAAGGAAGAAGGUUCUAUGGAUUGUAAACUUCUUUUGCAGGGGAAUAAAGGACGGUAUGUGUACUGUUUUGUAUGUACCUUGCGAAUAAGGAUCGGCUAACUCCGUG